This 253-nucleotide ribosomal RNA is filed under the name uncultured bacterium. RNAcentral describes it as "partial 16S ribosomal RNA". It matches the Rfam family "Bacterial small subunit ribosomal RNA", at positions 524 to 776 of the family's 1533-position model. The record is from RNAcentral.
UACGUAGGGGGCUAGCGUUGUCCGGAAUCAUUGGGCGUAAAGCGCGUGUAGGCGGUCCGGUAAGUCCGCUGUGAAAGUCGGGGGCUCAACCCUCGGAUGCCGGUAGAUACUGUCGGGCUUGAGUACGGAAGAGGCGAGUGGAAUUCCUGGUGUAGCGGUGAAAUGCGCAGAUAUCAGGAGGAACACCAAUUGCGAAGGCAGCUCGCUGGGACGUUACUGACGCUGAGACGCGAAAGCGUGGGGAGCAAACAGG